GUGGGGAAUAUUGCACAAUGGAGGAAACUCUGAUGCAGCAACGCCGCGUGAGCGAUGAAGGUCUUCGGAUCGUAAAGCUCUGUCUUUAGGGAUGAUAAUGACAGUACCUAAGGAGGAAGCCACGGCUAACUACGUGCCAGCAGCCGCGGUAAUACGUAGGUGGCAAGCGUUAUCCGGAAUUAUUGGGCGUAAAGGGAGCGUAGGCGGAUAUUUAAGUGGGAUGUGAAAUACCAGGGCUCAACCCGGGUGCUGCAUUCCAAACUGGAUAUCUAGAGUGCAGGAGAGGAGAGUGGAAUUCCUAGUGUAGCGGUGAAAUGCGUAGAGAUUAGGAAGAACACCAGUGGCGAAGGCGACUCUCUGGACUGUAACUGACGCUGAGGCUCGAAAGCGUGGGGAGCGAACAGGAUUAGAAACCCUAGUAGUCC
RNAcentral lists this ribosomal RNA (425 nucleotides) under uncultured bacterium. Its description in RNAcentral is "bacterial SSU rRNA". It matches the Rfam family "Bacterial small subunit ribosomal RNA", at positions 354 to 796 of the family's 1533-position model. The record is from RNAcentral.